CUCAGGACCACGACUUUCAAACUGGAUUUUCUUCUUCACUUUGAAUAGACACAUGCCCUGAAAUGGUGUUAGGAUUGAAGGGGCACAUGUCCGCCAUCUAUUGGUGGGAGGUGGUAACAAGAUUUAGCAACUCUAUCUGGAGCUAUGGUCUGUUUCGUUCAGUUAUGUUACUUAUCACAAUAUUGUGACUUUGGGAGUUAAAGGGUUAAUAUCAAACCAGUAAAGUA
Long non-coding RNA from Sphaeramia orbicularis (orbiculate cardinalfish), 227 nucleotides. RefSeq lists it as uncharacterized. The transcript has 4 exons. Lineage: Eukaryota; Metazoa; Chordata; Actinopteri; Kurtiformes; Apogonidae. The record is from RefSeq and is a predicted model, not a curated record.